GGGAAUGUAGCUCAGUGGUAGAGUGCUUACCUAGCAUGCAUGAGGCCCUGGGUUCGAUUCUCAGUACCA
This 69-nucleotide transfer RNA is filed under the name Dipodomys ordii (Ord's kangaroo rat). It matches the Rfam family "tRNA". From Rfam's summary of the family: Transfer RNA (tRNA) molecules are approximately 80 nucleotides in length. Their secondary structure includes four short double-helical elements and three loops (D, anti-codon, and T loops). Further hydrogen bonds mediate the characteristic L-shaped molecular structure. tRNAs have two regions of fundamental functional importance: the anti-codon, which is responsible for specific mRNA codon recognition, and the 3' end, to which the tRNAs corresponding amino acid is attached (by aminoacyl-tRNA synthetases). tRNAs cope with the degeneracy of the genetic code in two manners: having more than one tRNA (with a specific anti-codon) for a particular amino acid; and 'wobble' base-pairing, i.e. permitting non-standard base-pairing at the 3rd anti-codon position. Lineage: Eukaryota; Metazoa; Chordata; Mammalia; Rodentia; Heteromyidae. The record is from Rfam by way of RNAcentral.